RNAcentral lists this non-coding RNA (967 nucleotides) under Tamias dorsalis (cliff chipmunk). RNAcentral describes it as "12S ribosomal RNA". It matches the Rfam family "Bacterial small subunit ribosomal RNA". RNAcentral also lists the same sequence under 1 other name. The record is from RNAcentral. Lineage: Eukaryota; Metazoa; Chordata; Mammalia; Rodentia; Sciuridae.
UAAAGGUUUGGUCCCAGCCUUUCCAUUAGCUACUAGUUAACUUAUACAUGCAAAUAUCCUCGCUCCGGUGAGAAUGCCCUCUAUAUCUUUCCUAGAUCAAAAGGUGCAGGUAUCAAGCUCACUAUAAUAUUGUAGCUCAUAACGCCUUGCUCAACCACACCCCCACGGGAAACAGCAGUAAUUAAAAUUAAGCAAUAAACGAAAGUUUGACUAAGUUAAACUAUAAUUAGGGUUGGUAAAUUUCGUGCCAGCCACCGCGGUCAUACGAUUAACCCAAGUUAAUGGAUUACGGCGUAAAGCGUGAUUAAGAGAAACCUUAAAUAAGAUUAAAACAGUACUAAGCCGUAAAAAGCCCUAGUACUAAUUAAAAUAAGUAUACGAAAGUAAUCUUAGAAUUUCUGAACUCACGAUAGCUAAGAUACAAACUGGGAUUAGAUACCCCACUAUGCUUAGCCCUAAACACAAAUACUCAACAAACAAGAGUAUUCGCCAGAGUACUACUAGCAAUAGCCUAAAACUCAAAGGACUUGGCGGUGCUUUACAUCCCUCUAGAGGAGCCUGUUCUGUAAUCGAUAAACCCCGAUAAACCUCACCACCUCUUGCAAUAUCAGCCUAUAUACCGCCAUCUUCAGCAAACCCUAAUAAGGUAUCAUAGUAAGCACAAGAAUUGUACACUAAUACGUUAGGUCAAGGUGUAGCCUAUGAGGUGGAAAGAAAUGGGCUACAUUUUCUAUAUACUAGAACAUUCCCAACGAUAACUUUCAUGAAACUCUGAAAGUCAAAGGCGGAUUUAGUAGUAAGCUAUGAAUAGAGAGCCUAGCUGAAUUGGGCAAUAAAGCACGCACACACCGCCCGUCACCCUCUUCAAAUAUUCACUAAUACUUAUUUCAUAAAUCAAAAAACUAAAUAUAUAAGAAGAGAUAAGUCGUAACAAGGUAAGCAUACUGGAAAGUGUGUUUGGAAUAAC